Molecule: long non-coding RNA, 370 nt
Filed under: Chrysemys picta bellii (western painted turtle)
Lineage: Eukaryota; Metazoa; Chordata; Testudines; Emydidae
Description: lncRNA (ENSCPBG00000024643.1)
Source: RNAcentral
CAAGGAGACCUGCCUGUGUCCAGCCAGGCAGCAAAUGCCCCUGUCAAAACAAUCCUGCUUGCAGAGCAUCAGCAGCUGUUGGCAGCACCCAUUCCAGGCAGCAGGAGAUGAGCUGCUCGCCUCUGAAUUUUCCACUAGGCUGGAGCCUGAGAGACUUUGCACAACAACUUCGCCCUGGAAAUUUGGCAGCUCCAAGGACAGCAGAGUGGUUCAGAUUCCUUCCCCACACAAAGGGGGGGCAAGGACAAGGAGAACCCUAGGGAGCAGGGAGCUGAAAGCAAUUCUGGAGCAUCAGUGCCACUGCCUAAUGGCCUCAGGGCCCUGACUCAGCACAGCUGCCCUGACAGCGGCACGCUGGAGAGGAAGGUGG